AGGGUUUGAUUAUGGCUCAGGAUGAACGCUGGCGGCGUGCCUAACACAUGCAAGUCGAGCGAGAAGCCUUUAAAUGAAACUUCGGUAGAUUUUAGAGGUGGGAAGCGGCGGACGGGUGAGUAACGCGUAGGCAACCUGCCCUUUGCAGAGGGAUAGCCUCGGGAAACCGGGAUUAAAACCUCAUAAAGCUCUGUUAAGACAUCUUAAUAGGGUCAAAGAUUUAUCGGCAAAGGAUGGGCCUGCGUCUGAUUAGUUAGUUGGUGGGGUAACGGCCUACCAAGGCAGCGAUCAGUAGCCGACCUGAGAGGGUGAUCGGCCACAUUGGAACUGAGACACGGUCCAA
This 343-nucleotide ribosomal RNA is filed under the name uncultured bacterium. RNAcentral describes it as "bacterial SSU rRNA". It matches the Rfam family "Bacterial small subunit ribosomal RNA", at positions 8 to 334 of the family's 1533-position model. The record is from RNAcentral.